This 76-nucleotide transfer RNA is filed under the name Rothia sp. HMSC065C03. RNAcentral describes it as "tRNA-Val". It matches the Rfam family "tRNA". Rfam says of the family: Transfer RNA (tRNA) molecules are approximately 80 nucleotides in length. Their secondary structure includes four short double-helical elements and three loops (D, anti-codon, and T loops). Further hydrogen bonds mediate the characteristic L-shaped molecular structure. tRNAs have two regions of fundamental functional importance: the anti-codon, which is responsible for specific mRNA codon recognition, and the 3' end, to which the tRNAs corresponding amino acid is attached (by aminoacyl-tRNA synthetases). tRNAs cope with the degeneracy of the genetic code in two manners: having more than one tRNA (with a specific anti-codon) for a particular amino acid; and 'wobble' base-pairing, i.e. permitting non-standard base-pairing at the 3rd anti-codon position. The record is from RNAcentral. Lineage: Bacteria; Bacillati; Actinomycetota; Actinomycetes; Micrococcales; Micrococcaceae.
GGGUCUUUAGCUCAGAUGGUAGAGCGCCACGUUUACACCGUGGAUGUCAUCGGUUCGAUCCCGGUAGGACCCACCG